Molecule: long non-coding RNA, 231 nt
Filed under: Elaeis guineensis (African oil palm)
Lineage: Eukaryota; Viridiplantae; Streptophyta; Magnoliopsida; Arecales; Arecaceae
Description: long non-coding RNA (EGUI_LNC074358)
Source: RNAcentral
UCUGAUUAAUUGGCAUACAGCAGACAGCCUAUUUUGAUAGCCUACAAGCUUAGGCCUAACAAUCUUCAGACUCUGUCUAUAAGAAGAUGUGAAAAAGGAGACCCCAAGAUAAGCCGUCACUCUGCCUCUCACACUCCUCCAUCUAGUGAAUAAGAUACUUACUUGAGCAUAAGAGGAUUUCCACCAGAGCCACCUCUAGUCGAGGCUUUUCUUGCAAGUCUCACCCCUAUG